CCGGCGACCGGCGGACGGGUGCGUAACGCGUAUGUAACCUACCUUUGACAGGGGGAUAACAUCGAGAAAUUGGUACUAAUACCCCAUAACAUCACCGGAGGCAUCUUCGGUGGUUGAAAACUCAGGUGGUCAGAGAUGGACAUGCGUUGUAUUAGCUAGUUGGUGAGGUAGCGGCUCACCAAGGCGACGAUACAUAGGGGGACUGAGAGGUCAACCCCCCACAUUGGUACUGAGACACGGACCAAACUCCUACGGGAGGCAGCAG
Molecule: ribosomal RNA, 265 nt
Filed under: uncultured bacterium
Lineage: Bacteria
Description: partial 16S ribosomal RNA
Rfam family: Bacterial small subunit ribosomal RNA
Source: RNAcentral